AUCUUACAUAUAAUGUCAAUAUGACUAAACGCAAAAACUCCCACGGCUAACUCAAUGAGAUUGAACUCACCCCAAGCCUAUAUGCACCCAUGACUUGACUCAAUCUUACUCUCAUGGACUCAAACUUAGCCUCAAGGCCCAAAGCCUCUGGACCUCAGGACUGUGAAGGUUGAUAGUCUUUCACCCUAAGAUCCAAACAAGCCCUGAAUCCUUUGAGCCAACUCCAUGGUUCAACUUCUGGCCUCCUAAGACUUGGGAGCACCACACUAACCCCUACAAGAUAAGAAUUUAAAGAAGUGAGGUCUGCGGG
RNAcentral lists this long non-coding RNA (310 nucleotides) under Elaeis guineensis (African oil palm). RNAcentral describes it as "long non-coding RNA (EGUI_LNC059690)". Lineage: Eukaryota; Viridiplantae; Streptophyta; Magnoliopsida; Arecales; Arecaceae. The record is from RNAcentral.